This 264-nucleotide ribosomal RNA is filed under the name uncultured bacterium. Its description in RNAcentral is "partial 16S ribosomal RNA". It matches the Rfam family "Bacterial small subunit ribosomal RNA", at positions 90 to 354 of the family's 1533-position model. The record is from RNAcentral.
UUCGAGUGGCGGACGGGUGAGUAACGCGUGGGUAACCUGCCUUACACAGGGGGAUAACACCUGGAAACAGGUGCUAAUACCGCAUAAGCGCACAGGGCCGCAUGGCCCGGUGUGAAAAACUCCGGUGGUGUAAGAUGGACCCGCGUCUGAUUAGCUUGUUGGCGGGGUAGAGGCCCACCAAGGCGACGAUCAGUAGCCGGCCUGAGAGGGUGAACGGCCACAUUGGGACUGAGACACGGCCCAGACUCCUACGGGAGGCAGCAG